GAUGAAGAACGUAGCGAAAUGCGAUAAGUAAUGUGAAUUGCAGAAUUCAGUGAAUCAUCGAAUCUUUGAACGCACCUUGCACUCCUUGGUAUUCCGAGGAGUACGCCUGUUCGAGUGUUAUGAAGCUCUCAAAACGCAAUUGGCUUAAAACCUGAUUGUUGUUUUGGAUUUGAACUUUGCCAUGUUAUAACGGCUGGUUUUAAAAGUAUUAGCUGGUACUAGAACGAAUUGGUUCUACUCAACGUGAUAAUUAUCUGAUCGUUGAGGACAUUCCUUUCACGAGGAAUGGCCAUAGUAAAUUCAAUGGACUGCUUCUAAUCUGGCUUUAAUUCUUUAUUGGAUUAACCACUUUUCAAAUCUGACCUCGAAUCAGGUGGGACUACCCGCUGAACUUAAGCAUAUCAAUAAGCGGAGGA
This 416-nucleotide unclassified non-coding RNA is filed under the name soil metagenome. RNAcentral describes it as "partial contains 5.8S ribosomal RNA, internal transcribed spacer 2, and large subunit ribosomal RNA". The stretch from base 1 to 120 matches the Rfam family "5.8S ribosomal RNA", at positions 35 to 154 of the family's 154-position model. The record is from RNAcentral.